Felis catus (domestic cat) is the source of this 945-nucleotide long non-coding RNA. RefSeq lists it as uncharacterized. Lineage: Eukaryota; Metazoa; Chordata; Mammalia; Carnivora; Felidae. The transcript is spliced from 4 exons. The record is from RefSeq and is a predicted model, not a curated record.
GUCAGCUUUUGCCCAACUGUCAGCCAAGGGCUCUACAUCAACUAAUCUCGCUGAAUUGUCACAAGAACUCUGGGAGAUUGGCGUGCUAAUGGACUUUUAAAAAUGAGGAAACCAGAGCCAAGGAUAGAAGAAAUGCUUUAGGUUCAGAACACAUGGAAUGAACACGUCCUAGGCUGGCGAAGCGGGUCAAGGACCAUGGGCCCCGAACGGGAGGCUGCUGACACUUGUCAGGGAGGAAGAGGGUAACUGGUGACUGUCAGAGGCAGAGCGGAGGUUUAUUCUUGGAAGCAGCCCCCCGCUGCUGACUUUACUUCUCUUCUUGGCUGUGCCUAAGAGGAUUGCUGGGCCAGAGUUCCCUGUUAUCUGUUUUAUGGUGAGGAAGGACACACAGUUCUGCUUUGCAAAAGAACAUUGAACUUGUCUGAAAUGCCCUUGUUUCAACUCUUAGUCGUUACAGCAGGAAAUGUGAUCACAGAUCUUCACCCUGGAAACAAAGAGGGAUGAAUCUUUGGUUCUUAAAUAAAACACCAGUAAGAAUUUAAAUCAGCCAACACCUAUGUCAAACUUCAGUAGACAAUUCUGUUUCCUGUACACACAAAAAAUGUAUCCUUUCCCAGGAAUGGAGAAGGGAGGUCUUCAGAAGAACUUUAGCAUUUGAUGUUGUCCUGGAAUGCAUCCUUUGGAGUAGAAAACUUCCUUUACAAAGUCAACCGGUUAUUGACGGGCACCCUUCAGAUCAGGGAAUAUCAGUUGUUUCAAAGGUUGCUACCUUUAGUGAGUGCAUAAUUAGAUGGAUAUCACUGUGUAACAACUGUAAUUACAUAUAUAUCUUGUACCAGUGCUACCAAAGUUGGUGGCAACAGCCUUGGUCUUUACUAAAAAGCAUUAAAAAAAUGUUUUUUAAUGUUUAUUUAUUUUUGAGAGAGAGACAGACAGAGUGUGAGC